This 140-nucleotide small nuclear RNA is filed under the name Neotoma lepida (desert woodrat). Its description in RNAcentral is "U4 spliceosomal RNA". It matches the Rfam family "U4 spliceosomal RNA". Rfam says of the family: U4 small nuclear RNA (U4 snRNA) is a component of the major U2-dependent spliceosome. The structure of U4 snRNA from yeast and human has been reported. U4 snRNA presents a k-turn RNA motif in the 5p-SL related to recognition of Snu13 protein. Lineage: Eukaryota; Metazoa; Chordata; Mammalia; Rodentia; Cricetidae. The record is from Rfam by way of RNAcentral.
AGCUUUGCGCAGUGGCAGUAUCAUAGCCAAUGAGGUUUAUCCGAGGCACGAUUAUUGCUAAUUGAAAACUUUUCCCAAAUUUGUCCCUCUAACUCUCAUAUCUGAAAGAGAGGUAAAUAAUAUCUAAGGGACAAAUGUAC